RNAcentral lists this transfer RNA (65 nucleotides) under Psylliodes affinis. Its description in RNAcentral is "tRNA-Phe". The record is from RNAcentral. Lineage: Eukaryota; Metazoa; Arthropoda; Insecta; Coleoptera; Chrysomelidae.
ACUUAAAUAGCUUAUAUAAAGAGUUUAAUAUUGAAGAUAUUAGGGAAGUUAGAGACUUUUAAGUA